Egretta garzetta (little egret) is the source of this 1587-nucleotide long non-coding RNA. RefSeq lists it as uncharacterized. The record is from RefSeq and is a predicted model, not a curated record. The transcript is spliced from 5 exons. Lineage: Eukaryota; Metazoa; Chordata; Aves; Pelecaniformes; Ardeidae.
CUGGGGGCAGCACAGUGACACAAACACUGUGAGGUCUCAUACAAAAAGCUGAGGCUACAAAAAGGAGCAAUACAUUUUAAGGGAAAAGGGAAAAGGGGAAUGUGUUGAAGAAGAGAACUGCAAAAUUCCUAUAAGCAUUUAUUCUGGAAGUACAUUGCUUUCUGAGAUAAUAGAAAAGGGGUUUAAAAGCUUUGACCUGGAUCAAGUUGUUUGAAAUCACUCUACUAUGAAAUUAUUAUUUUCUUCCCUCACAGUUUUGGAAACAAUGGUGACUUUGGAGCACUUUCAUGGCAGCCCAUGUGUGGAUUCCUUGGACAAACCGCUGGCAUUCUAUUCCCUGAUUUUUACACCUUUAGAGUGUGGAGAGGAAAGUGGGCUUAUCUGACUAUGUGUAAACAGUGUGGCAACAGACAAGCUUGUAUUCGGAACCGGGAUCACUUUUUUGGUUGAACCAAAGACUCAAGAAGAAUUUGGCCCAGAGGUCAUUGUGCUUAAAUCAAAGAAACCCAAACAACAUGAUAACAAACUGAACAUGGCUUGCUUGGCAAGGGCUUUCUACCCCAGGAACAUCAGCCUUGAUGUGCCCGAGAGUGACAUUGUAUAUGAUCUGAAGACACCUCUUUUUACGUCUGAGGGGAUGUACAGUACCAUGAAGGUAGUUGGAGUGGAACCAGGUGCAGAGGUGACCUGCAAGGCUAUGCACAGGGGGAGCAAGGCUACGGCCAGCAUAAUUCUACCAGCAGAAGAGAAAACUGAGGAAUCUGAGACAGCGAAUGCUUGCACCAUUACAGAUGCUGCUACAAAAGAUGUAAAAAUGGAGCAAGUGAAUAUGAUGUUCGUGGCUGUUUUCGGUUUGAGAGUCCUGCUGGCAAAAAGCAUCGCCUUCAAUACCAUCAUGACCAUCAGGCUGUUUCUCUUCUGAGGUGCUGGAUAAAUGAGCCAGCAAUGGACUGAAGAAGAGCAGGGAAGAACACACAGCAGGAUAAUUUAAACACGAUGGGUCAGCUUUGCUACCAAUAAGCAUCUAAAGGAUCAACAGCCCUCCCCAGUUCCUAUACAUCUAUGAGUCCCUUUACUUCAUCAGGGUGCUCCUCAGUUACCACCACCUGGAAGCCUUCUUAGACAGCUAAUACUGCUGAACUCUUGUCUAGCUUAGUUUCAUUAAUUGUUAGAAUAAUUUUUGUUAGUUCUUAUUUCCACAAGAAAUUUCCUUCAUCCCCCUACUAACCAGGAAUAGUCAGCUCUCCUACCCUCGUGUCUGUUGCACUGAAGCAUCCAAAUUGCUUAGAUAGUUUCAAAAACUUAAAACUGAACUUUAUACUUACUCUGCUUUAAAAAUGCCAUCUUAAAAAUACCAUGUUACAUUACUGCCCACAGAAGGAAUGCUUUUCUGCUUAGGGAUCCUGGGCACAGGAGCAGCACCGUACAGUUUUAAUUUUUAGAAGCUUUUUUUAGUGGCAAUUUUCUAGUGCAGGUAACUGGAUCUCCACUGGACCUGAAGGAAUUCACUUCAGACAGCUACACCGUAGUGUUUUCAUUUCCAUUUCCUCUUUAGAAUCUCUCUCUCUUUUGUUAAGUAGAUGGUAC